AUCCAUAUCUUUCCUGUGCUGAGGACACCUGAGCUGGAAGCAGUGGAGGGUCUCUUGAACAUGGAGUUAAAGCAGCAGAAUCACCUACUGGUCACUCUUGUGAUGCAGGCUGAGUGAGAAUAGUAUCACUUUGUGAAGACACUACAAAAAAAAUAAUUUCAGGAGUCCUCUUGUCAUCUACAAGAAGAAGGAUUCACAGAUGUUUUAGCUGCAGGUCUAUAGGAAAGGUUUGUACAGUGCUGUUGUGAAAUCAAGGAUUUCCUGGACAAGGCAGUCUUUCUAUGAGGGCUGCAACAACGUCCUUUGAACAGGCUUGCCAAAAGCUUAGUGAAGCUGACACUGCUCUUCUUUUCCUCUCACCAAUGGCUAGAAUCCAGAAAGUUUCUUCAGAAUAGAAUAAAUAUUGUCAGAGAUAAGCAAGAAGAGAUUAUGAGACACUUAUUCUGGUCAAGUUUCCAUAAACUUCAAAAAUCCGAAUGGUGGUUUCUGUUGGGGAUUUUUAUUAAUAAUACCCAGGCUCUAAAACCUCAUGUCUAACAUGUUUCUUCCACACACAUCACCUUAAUUCCCCUCAGCCUUUUCACUUUCUCCCUGCUGUUUCGAUAUUGCAUUUGUCUGCACUGAAAUUGAAGCUGCCAAGGAUGGUUUUCUAUAGCAUUAGUUAACAUGGUUAUGCCAGU
This is a long non-coding RNA of Cyanistes caeruleus (blue tit), 680 nucleotides long. RefSeq lists it as uncharacterized. The record is from RefSeq and is a predicted model, not a curated record. NCBI's taxonomy places the organism in Eukaryota, Metazoa, Chordata, Aves, Passeriformes, Paridae.